Molecule: ribosomal RNA, 362 nt
Filed under: Bacillus paralicheniformis
Lineage: Bacteria; Bacillati; Bacillota; Bacilli; Caryophanales; Bacillaceae
Description: bacterial SSU rRNA
Rfam family: Bacterial small subunit ribosomal RNA
Source: RNAcentral
UUCAUGGAGAGUUUGAUCCUGGCUCAGGACGAACGCUGGCGGCGUGCCUAAUACAUGCAAGUCGAGCGGACAGAUGGGAGCUUGCUCCCUGAUGUUAGCGGCGGACGGGUGAGUAACACGUGGGUAACCUGCCUGUAAGACUGGGAUAACUCCGGGAAACCGGGGCUAAUACCGGAUGCUUGAUUGAACCGCAUGGUUCAAUUAUAAAAGGUGGCUUUUAGCUACCACUUACAGAUGGACCCGCGGCGCAUUAGCUAGUUGGUGAGGUAACGGCUCACCAAGGCAACGAUGCGUAGCCGACCUGAGAGGGUGAUCGGCCACACUGGGACUGAGACACGGCCCAGACUCCUACGGGAGGCAGC